GACGAACGCUGGCGGCGUGCUUAACACAUGCAAGUCGAACGGAAAGGCCCUGCUUUUGUGGGGUGCUCGAGUGGCGAACGGGUGAGUAACACGUGAGUAACCUGCCCUUGACUUUGGGAUAACUUCAGGAAACUGGGGCUAAUACCGGAUAGGAGCUCCUGCUGCAUGGUGGGGGUUGGAAAGUUUCGGCGGUUGGGGAUGGACUCGCGGCUUAUCAGCUUGUUGGUGGGGUAGUGGCUUACCAAGGCUUUGACGGGUAGCCGGCCUGAGAGGGUGACCGGCCACAUUGGGACUGAGCUACGGCCCAGACGCCUACGGGAGGCAGCAGUGGGGAAUAUUGCACAAUGGGCGGAAGCCUGAUGCAGCAACGCCGCGUGCGGGAUGACGGCCUUCGGGUUGUAAACCGCUUUCGCCUGUGACGAAGCGUGAGUGACGGUAAUGGGUAAAGAAGCACCGGCUAACUACGUG
Molecule: ribosomal RNA, 468 nt
Filed under: uncultured bacterium
Lineage: Bacteria
Description: partial 16S ribosomal RNA
Rfam family: Bacterial small subunit ribosomal RNA
Source: RNAcentral